UAGGGAAUUUUCCACAAUGGACGAAAGUCUGAUGGAGCAACGCCGCGUGCAGGAUGAAUGCCUUCGGGUUGUAAACUGCUUUUAUCUGUGACGAUAAUGACGGUAGCAGAUGAAUAAGGAUCGGCUAACUCCGUGCCAGCAGCCGCGGUCAUACGGAGGAUCCAAGCGUUAUCCGGAAUUACUGGGCGUAAAGAGUUGCGUAGGUGGCAUAGUAAGUUGGUAGUGAAAGCGUGGGGCUCAACCUCAUAUCCAUUACUGAAACUGCUAAGCUAGAGGGCGAGAGAGGUAACUAGAAUUCCUUGUGUAGGAGUGAAAUCCGUAGAUAUAAGGAGGAAUACCGAUGGCGUAGGCAGGUUACUGGCUCGUCCCUGACACUAAGGCACGAAAGCGUGGGUAGCAAACGGG
RNAcentral lists this ribosomal RNA (405 nucleotides) under uncultured bacterium. Its description in RNAcentral is "bacterial SSU rRNA". It matches the Rfam family "Bacterial small subunit ribosomal RNA", at positions 355 to 776 of the family's 1533-position model. The record is from RNAcentral.